GACAGAGGGUGCAACGUUGUUCGGAAUUACUGGGCGUAAAGCGCGUGUAGGCUGCUUCGCAAGUCGGAUGUGAAAGCCCUGGCUCAACCCAGGAAGUGCAUUCGAAACUGCAGAGCUGGAGUCCUGGAGGGGAAGGCGGAAUUCUCGGUGUAGAGGUGAAAUUCGUAGAUAUCGAGAGGAACAGCCGGUGGCGAAGGCGGCCUUCUGGACAGUGACUGACGCUGAGACGCGAAAGCGUGGGGGAGCAAACAGG
This 253-nucleotide ribosomal RNA is filed under the name uncultured bacterium. RNAcentral describes it as "partial 16S ribosomal RNA". It matches the Rfam family "Bacterial small subunit ribosomal RNA", at positions 524 to 776 of the family's 1533-position model. The record is from RNAcentral.